This 2703-nucleotide ribosomal RNA is filed under the name Campylobacter coli. RNAcentral describes it as "partial 23S ribosomal RNA". It matches the Rfam family "Bacterial large subunit ribosomal RNA", at positions 1 to 2561 of the family's 2925-position model. The record is from RNAcentral. Lineage: Bacteria; Pseudomonadati; Campylobacterota; Epsilonproteobacteria; Campylobacterales; Campylobacteraceae.
GUAAGCUACUAAGAGCGAAUGGUGGAUGCCUUGACUGGUAAAGGCGAUGAAGGACGUACUAGACUGCGAUAAGCUACGGGGAGCUGUCAAGAAGCUUUGAUCCGUAGAUUUCCGAAUGGGGCAACCCAAUGUAUAGAGAUAUACAUUACCUAUAUAGGAGCGAACGAGGGGAAUUGAAACAUCUUAGUACCCUCAGGAAAAGAAAUCAAUAGAGAUUGCGUCAGUAGCGGCGAGCGAAAGCGCAAGAGGGCAAACCCAGUGCUUGCACUGGGGGUUGUAGGACUGCAAUGUGCAAGAGGUGAGUUUAGCAGAACAUUCUGGAAAGUAUAGCCAUAGAGGGUGAUAGUCCCGUAUGCGAAAAACAAACCUUAGCUAGCAGUAUCCUGAGUAGGGCGGGACACGAGAAAUCCUGUCUGAAGCUGGGUCGACCACGAUCCAACCCUAAAUACUAAUACCAGAUCGAUAGUGCACAAGUACCGUGAGGGAAAGGUGAAAAGAACUGAGGUGAUCAGAGUGAAAUAGAACCUGAAACCAUUUGCUUACAAUCAUUCAGAGCCCUAUGUAGCAAUACAGGGUGAUGGACUGCCUUUUGCAUAAUGAGCCUGCGAGUUGUGGUGUCUGGCAAGGUUAAGCAAACGCGAAGCCGUAGCGAAAGCGAGUCUGAAUAGGGCGCUUAGUCAGAUGCUGCAGACCCGAAACGAAGUGAUCUAUCCAUGAGCAAGUUGAAGCUAGUGUAAGAACUAGUGGAGGACUGAACCCAUAGGCGUUGAAAAGCCCCGGGAUGACUUGUGGAUAGGGGUGAAAGGCCAAUCAAACUUCGUGAUAGCUGGUUCUCUCCGAAAUAUAUUUAGGUAUAGCGUUGUGUCGUAAUAUAAGGGGGUAGAGCACUGAAUGGGCUAGGGCAUACACCAAUGUACCAAACCCUAUCAAACUCCGAAUACCUUAUAUGUAAUCACAGCAGUCAGGCGGCGAGUGAUAAAAUCCGUCGUCAAGAGGGAAACAACCCAGACUACCAGCUAAGGUCCCUAAAUCUUACUUAAGUGGAAAACGAUGUGAAGUUACUUAAACAACCAGGAGGUUGGCUUAGAAGCAGCCAUCCUUUAAAGAAAGCGUAAUAGCUCACUGGUCUAGUGAUUUUGCGCGGAAAAUAUAACGGGGCUAAAGUAAGUACCGAAGCUGUAGACUUGCGCACAACUUAGAUUAUUUAAGUUUAGAAUAUGAGAAACUAAGUUAUAUGUUUAGUUAUAUUUUUACUGAUUUUUAUAGAGUAAAGAUAGAAAUAAAACUUAGUAAAAUCAGUAAAAAUAUUCUUAGACUAAAGUUAAGUAGUUUAAGUUGUGUGCAAGUGGUAGGAGAGCGUUCUAUUUGCGUCGAAGGUAUACCGGUAAGGAGUGCUGGAGCGAAUAGAAGUGAGCAUGCAGGCAUGAGUAGCGAUAAUUAAUGUGAGAAUCAUUAACGCCGUAAACCCAAGGUUUCCUACGCGAUGCUCGUCAUCGUAGGGUUAGUCGGGUCCUAAGUCGAGUCCGAAAGGGGUAGACGAUGGCAAAUUGGUUAAUAUUCCAAUACCAACAUUAGUGUGCGAUGGAAGGACGCUUAGGGCUAAGGGGGCUAGCGGAUGGAAGUGCUAGUCUAAGGUCGUAGGAGGUUAUACAGGCAAAUCCGUAUAACAAUACUCCGAGAACUGAAAGGCUUUUUGAAGUCUUCGGAUGGAUAGAAGAACCCCUGAUGCCGUCGAGCCAAGAAAAGUUUCUAAGUUUAGCUAAUGUUGCCCGUACCGUAAACCGACACAGGUGGGUGGGAUGAGUAUUCUAAGGCGCGUGGAAGAACUCUCUUUAAGGAACUCUGCAAAAUAGCACCGUAUCUUCGGUAUAAGGUGUGGUUAGCUUUGUAUUAGGAUUUACUCCGAAAGCAAGGAAACUUACAACAAAGAGUCCCUCCCGACUGUUUACCAAAAACACAGCACUCUGCUAACUCGUAAGAGGAUGUAUAGGGUGUGACGCCUGCCCGGUGCUCGAAGGUUAAUUGAUGGGGUUAGCAUUAGCGAAGCUCUUGAUCGAAGCCCGAGUAAACGGCGGCCGUAACUAUAACGGUCCUAAGGUAGCGAAAUUCCUUGUCGGUUAAAUACCGACCUGCAUGAAUGGCGUAACGAGAUGGGAGCUGUCUCAAAGAGGGAUCCAGUGAAAUUGUAGUGGAGGUGAAAAUUCCUCCUACCCGCGGCAAGACGGAAAGACCCCGUGGACCUUUACUACAGCUUGACACUGCUACUUGGAUAAGAAUGUGCAGGAUAGGUGGGAGGCUUUGAGUAUAUGACGCCAGUUGUAUAUGAGCCAUUGUUGAGAUACCACUCUUUCUUAUUUGGGUAGCUAACCAGCUUGAGUUAUCCUCAAGUGGGACAAUGUCUGGUGGGUAGUUUGACUGGGGCGGUCGCCUCCCAAAUAAUAACGGAGGCUUACAAAGGUUGGCUCAGAACGGUUGGAAAUCGUUCGUAGAGUAUAAAGGUAUAAGCCAGCUUAACUGCAAGACAUACAAGUCAAGCAGAGACGAAAGUCGGUCUUAGUGAUCCGGUGGUUCUGUGUGGAAGGGCCAUCGCUCAAAGGAUAAAAGGUACCCCGGGGAUAACAGGCUGAUCUCCCCCAAGAGCUCACAUCGACGGGGAGGUUUGGCACCUCGAUGUCGGCUCAUCGCAUCCUGGGGCUGGAGCAG